ACUCCUACGGGAGGCAGCAGGCGCGAAAACUCUACAAUGCCGGCAACGGCGAUAAGGGGACCUCGAGUGCCAGGUUACAAAUCUGGCUGUCGUGAUGCCUAAAAAGCAUUGCAUAGCAAGGGCCGGGCAAGACCGGUGCCAGCCGCCGCGGUAACACCGGCGGCUCGAGUGGUAACCGUUAUUAUUGGGUCUAAAGGGUCUGUAGCCGGCCGGAUAAGUCUCUUGAGAAAUCCAGCAGCUCAACUGUUGGGCUUUCAGGAGAUACUGUUCGGCUCGAGGCCGGGAGAGGUGAGAGGUACUUCAGGGGUAGGGGUGAAAUCUUGUAAUCCUUGAAGGACCACCAGUGGCGAAGGCGUCUCACCAGAACGGACCUGACGGCAAGGGACGAAAGCUAGGGGCACGAACCGGAUUAGAUACCCGGGUAGUCCUAGCCGUAAACGAUACUCGCUAGGUGUCGGCCACGGUGCGACCGUUGUCGGUGCCGUAGGGAAGCCGUGAAGCGAGCCACCUGGGAAGUACGGCCGCAAGGCUGAAACUCAAAGGAAUUGACGG
This 552-nucleotide ribosomal RNA is filed under the name uncultured bacterium. RNAcentral describes it as "bacterial SSU rRNA". It matches the Rfam family "Archaeal small subunit ribosomal RNA", at positions 319 to 871 of the family's 1478-position model. The record is from RNAcentral.